AGAGGAAGAGUUUUCUGGCUC
This 21-nucleotide microRNA is filed under the name Rehmannia glutinosa. RNAcentral's name for it is "rgl-miR7810". The record is from miRBase by way of RNAcentral. Lineage: Eukaryota; Viridiplantae; Streptophyta; Magnoliopsida; Lamiales; Orobanchaceae.